UGCCAGCCGCCGCGGUAAUACGAAGGGCCCGAGCGUUACUCGGAAUCACUGGGCUUAAAGCGUACGCAGGCGGACCGUCAGGCAUCGUGUGAAAUCCCUCCGCUCAACGGAGGAACUGCACGGUGAACCGUCGGCCUUGAGACAAGUAGGGGCGAUCGGAACGCUAGGUGGAGUGGUGGAAUGCGUUGAUAUCUAGCGGAACGCCGAAGGAGAAAUCAGGUCGCUGGGCUUGUUCUGACGCUGAGGUACGAAAGCGUGGGGAGCGAACGGGAUUAGAUA
Molecule: ribosomal RNA, 279 nt
Filed under: uncultured bacterium
Lineage: Bacteria
Description: partial 16S ribosomal RNA
Rfam family: Bacterial small subunit ribosomal RNA
Source: RNAcentral